RNAcentral lists this ribosomal RNA (292 nucleotides) under uncultured bacterium. RNAcentral's name for it is "partial 16S ribosomal RNA". It matches the Rfam family "Bacterial small subunit ribosomal RNA", at positions 505 to 796 of the family's 1533-position model. The record is from RNAcentral.
GUGUCAGCCGCCGCGGUAAUACGUAGGGUGCGAGCGUUAAUCGGAAUUACUGGGCGUAAAGCGUGCGCAGGCGGUUCGUUGUGUCUGCUGUGAAAGCCCCGGGCUCAACCUGGGAAUGGCAGUGGAAACUGGCGAGCUGGAGUGUGGCAGAGGGGGGUGGAAUUCCAGGUGUAGCAGUGAAAUGCGUAGAGAUCUGGAGGAACACCGAUGGCGAAGGCAGCCCCCUGGGCUGACACUGACGCUCAGGCACGAAAGCGUGGGGAGCAAACAGGAUUAGAAACCCUGGUAGUCC